Molecule: ribosomal RNA, 497 nt
Filed under: uncultured bacterium
Lineage: Bacteria
Description: partial 16S ribosomal RNA
Rfam family: Bacterial small subunit ribosomal RNA
Source: RNAcentral
GAUGAACGCUGGCGGCGUGCCUAAUACAUGCAAGUCGAGCGAACGGACGAGAAGCUUGCUUCUCUGAUGUUAGCGGCGGACGGGUGAGUAACACGUGGAUAACCUACCUAUAAGACUGGGAUAACUUCGGGAAACCGGAGCUAAUACCGGAUAAUAUUUUGAACCGCAUGGUUCAAAAGUGAAAGACGGUCUUGCGGUCACUUAUAGAUGGAUCCGCGCUGCAUUAGCUAGUUGGUAAGGUAACGGCUUACCAAGGCAACGAUGCAUAGCCGACCUGAGAGGGUGAUCGGCCACACUGGAACUGAGCCACGGUCCAGACUCCUACGGGAGGCAGCAGUAGGGAAUCUUCCGCAAUGGGCGAAAGCCUGACGGAGCAACGCCGCGUGAGUGAUGAAGGUCUUCGGAUCGUAAAACUCUGUUAUUAGGGAAGAACAUAUGUGUAAGUAACUGUGCACAUCUUGACGGUACCUACUCAGAAAGCCACGGCUAACUACGUG